RNAcentral lists this ribosomal RNA (413 nucleotides) under uncultured prokaryote. RNAcentral describes it as "partial 16S ribosomal RNA". It matches the Rfam family "Bacterial small subunit ribosomal RNA", at positions 11 to 422 of the family's 1533-position model. The record is from RNAcentral.
GUUUGAUCCUGGCUCAGGAUGAACGCUAGCGGGAGGCUUAACACAUGCAAGUCGAGGGGCAGCAUGGACUUCGGUCUGGUGGCGAGCGGCGCACGGGUGCGUAACGCGUAUGCAACCUGCCUUAUACAGGGGGAUAGCCCAUGGAAACGUGGAUUAAUACCCCAUAAUAUCGUUGAAUCGCAUGGUUUAACGAUNAAAACNACGGUGGUAAAAGAUGGGCAUGCGUCNGAUUAGCNAGANGGNGAGGNAACGGCUCACCANGGCGACGANCAGNAGGGGNUCNGAGAGGAUUAUCCCCCACACUGGUACUGAGACACGGACCAGACUCCCACGGGAGGCAGCAGUGAGGAAUAUUGGUCAAUGGGCGCGAGCCUGAACCAGCCAUCCCGCGUGCAGGAAGACGGCCCUAUGGG